This 253-nucleotide ribosomal RNA is filed under the name uncultured bacterium. Its description in RNAcentral is "partial 16S ribosomal RNA". It matches the Rfam family "Bacterial small subunit ribosomal RNA", at positions 524 to 776 of the family's 1533-position model. The record is from RNAcentral.
GACGAACCGUCCUAACGUUGUUCGGAAUCACUGGGCGUAAAGCGCACGUAGGCGGAUUGCUAAGUCAGGGGUGAAAUCCUGGAGCUCAACUCCAGAACUGCCUUUGAUACUGGCGAUCUCGAGUCCGGGAGAGGUGAGUGGAACUGCGAGUGUAGAGGUGAAAUUCGUAGAUAUUCGCAAGAACACCAGUGGCGAAGGCGGCUCACUGGCCCGGUACUGACGCUGAGGUGCGAAAGCGUGGGGAGCAAACAGG